Molecule: long non-coding RNA, 1251 nt
Filed under: Penaeus japonicus
Lineage: Eukaryota; Metazoa; Arthropoda; Malacostraca; Decapoda; Penaeidae
Description: uncharacterized LOC122262471
Source: RNAcentral
GCUCUGCUAAGAGUAUAUGAGUAAUUUCCACGAUGGAUAGAAGACAUCUGGUUAGACACUUCCUAUAGUGGAUCACGUGGACUAUUGGUUAGAAGCCAGGAUUGUCACUCUGACGACCCGGAAUCGAGUCUCGGUCAGGGGGAUAAAAUUUGUAUUUCUAUAUCAAAUGCAUUACUGCAUUUUACCAUCUUCUCACAUAAAUAUAACCUCAGUUAACUGAUUUGUGACUUGAAUUUCUGUUUCAUUUCUGUCAAGUGCAGAAAUGAAAUGGAAAAUAAAAUUCACUUUUAUUCCAUAUAGAAAGACCUUAUUAUUUCUAGUAUAUUUUUAGCCUGAUUAUAUUAAUUCUUGAAUAAUAGAUACAAUGUAACUUGUAUAUAUAUUAAAUGAAAUUGCCUUUAAACAAAAGGCAAAUAUACUGAUGUUGCAUAUCAACAUCAAUAUAUUUCACGAAUUGAAUGUAAGUAAAGGAUUAGGCCUUUCCUCCUAGACAGAGACAGAAAUUUGGUGGAAAAAAAACAUAGCGUUCACGAUACAAAAUAUUUAACACUGACAGGAUCUACCUAGAGCUGAUACUGAUCUCUCCUUGUCAUCAAAGAUCUUUUCAACUUUUGACAUCUUGAACAUUUGUUAUAAGUAAGAAAACGAUAGUGAAUUCACACUUUGUGUAUGUAUAUUUCUGUGUGUGUUUAUCAGUUGCUCCCUUUAUAAUGAUAUAUUCACAUAUAUGUAUGAAUAAAUACACACACGCACACACACACACAGAGAAACGAAAUUGGAGUAUAACAAGUCACAUAAAUUACAGGCCUAUGCUACAGGUGACGGUGGCUAAAGCAAAGAAUGGCCUUGGAGCAAGAUCAGACAUUGGAGCAAGAAAAAAUGGCCUUGGGCCACAAAAAAAAUAAAAGGCCUUUGAGCAAAAUCAGACCUUGGAGCAAGAUUUGGCCCACCACGUUGAAAGGGGAAGAAUAUACUUCCCAGAACGAGGGUGAUGAUGGUGAUAUGGGAUGGUGGAAGUCAAUAAUAUCACAGCAAACCAAACCGAUGUUUUAUUCGUUAUACUUGUAUUUACAUGCUUACGAAACGAGAUAAAAUAUUCGUCUUCAUUUGUGUAUAUCAAAUGUGAGUCUACAGAAAAUAUUUCAUGAGGCAAGUUGCUUCCAGCGAUAUAUUCCUACCUCAUGAUUUAUAUCAACAAUUCAGCCAACAUAGUACUUGUCUAUAGUAAUGAAAUACAGACAAUAUAUCUGA